GGGGGAUAUUGCGCAAUGGGCGAAAGCCUGACGCAGCAACGCCGCGUGAAUGAAGAAGCUCUUCGGAGUGUAAAGUUCUGUCCUAUGGGAAGAAGAUGACGGUACCAUAGGAGGAAGCCCCGGCUAACUACGUGCCAGCAGCCGCGGUAAUACGUAGGGGGCAAGCGUUAUCCGGAAUCAUUGGGCGUAAAGCGUGCGUAGGCGGCUUGAAAGGUCAGAGGUGAAAGGCUGGGGCUCAACCCCAGUUAGCCUUUGAAACCAGCAGGCUUGAGUACAGGAGGGGAAAGUGGAAUUUCUAGUGUAGCGGUGGAAUGCGUAGAUAUUAGAAGGAACACCAGUGGCGAAGGCGACUUUCUGGACUGUAACUGACGCUGAGGCACGAAAGCGUGGGGAGCGAAC
This 399-nucleotide ribosomal RNA is filed under the name uncultured bacterium. RNAcentral describes it as "bacterial SSU rRNA". It matches the Rfam family "Bacterial small subunit ribosomal RNA", at positions 356 to 773 of the family's 1533-position model. The record is from RNAcentral.